ACUAAAGAAUUAACCUUAUAUAUAAAUAUUUGAAUAUCAAAUCGCUAUAUACAAUAAAAGUAAAUAUAAGUAAAAACCUUAAUAUAUUAUCAACUAAUCUUAAUAUUCUCAAACAGAUUUAAAUAAGAAUAUAUAGGGUUAUAUUUAAAAGAAGGUAAACUAUAUAUAUAUAUAAGAUAAAGCUAUAAGAAACUCUAAUAGAAACUUAUAGAAAUUCUAAUAUAUAAAUCAAUUGUUAAAUAUAUAUAUAAAAAUAAAGGCUUAAUGAAACUUUCUAGUAACUAGUUUUUAUUAAGCUUUCCCUUAAGACAAUAGUAUUAAAUUUAAUUUUAUAAAGUAAAGUGAAUAAUUAGAAACUUAGAAGUACUAUAUUACUUUUAUUUAUUCUUGAAUUUUAUAUAUAUAAGAAGCCUUUAUCAUUGAAUUAAAUGUAAAUAUUUAAAUAUAUUAAUAUUCAUAGGUUAUUUCUAGUAAGUAGAAUUAGUAAUAUAGGAUAAACUAAACGUAAGGUUAAAAUAUUAGAAUAGAUACUUAUUAGAUAUUAUAAAACAUAUUAGUGAAUUUUAAUAGUAGGAUAAUAGUUAUAAAAGUAAGAAUCUAUUAAAAGCUAUAUAAUAGCUUACCUACUAAAUAUACUAACUUUAGAAAUAAAUAGUAUUUCAAUAUCUCACUUAUAUCUUACUUUUAGUAUAGAAAUAAUAUACUAAAGAAUAAAUAGAUAUAGAAGUUAGUAAUAAAAUUUAAAAUAUAAAUUUAGAUAGAAUAGCUUUCAAUAUAAAUCUUAAUAGUAAUAGUAAAUACUUUAAUAAAAAUUUAAAAGAUUAAAAUAGGGAGAAAUUCUAUAUAAAUAGUAGUUAGAUAUAAACUAAUUAGUUUUAAGUUAUAAGGACAUUCUAUUUUAAAAAGGUAUUUAUAUUUUAUGUAAUAAAAGGGAAGCUAGUUAAUAUUCUAAUAUUUAGAAAUAAGUUUUAUAUAAUAAUAUAGUUAAAUAUAGAAAUAAUAAUAAAAGCUUUAGAUAGAAUUCUUUUUUCUUCUUAAUAAUUUACUAUUCUAGAAUUAGUUUAACUAGAACUAGGAUUUAAUAAUUAGAAAAACCUAGUAUUUCUAUUAAAUCUAGUAUAUUUUCAAUAUCUUUUAGGAAUCUAUAAGAAAGAAUAAUUUUCAUACUAGGUUGUAUUUAUAAUGGUAAUAGGUUUCUAAAUUAAAUAGCUUCUAGUU
RNAcentral lists this non-coding RNA (1218 nucleotides) under Colletotrichum orbiculare MAFF 240422. Its description in RNAcentral is "Eukaryotic large subunit ribosomal RNA". It matches the Rfam family "Eukaryotic large subunit ribosomal RNA", at positions 665 to 1888 of the family's 3401-position model. Lineage: Eukaryota; Fungi; Ascomycota; Sordariomycetes; Glomerellales; Glomerellaceae. The record is from Rfam by way of RNAcentral.